GAUGAACGCUAGCUACAGGCUUAACACAUGCAAGUCGAGGGGAAACGACAUCGAAAGCUUGCUUUUGAUGGGCGUCGACCGGCGCACGGGUGAGUAACGCGUAUCCAACCUGCCCAUCACUUGGGAAUAACCUUGCGAAAGUAAGACUAAUACCCAAUGACAUCCCACGAAGACAUCUGAAUGGGAUUAAAGAUUUAUCGGUGAUGGAUGGGGAUGCGUCUGAUUAGCUUGUUGGCGGGGUAACGGCCCACCAAGGCAACGAUCAGUAGGGGUUCUGAGAGGACGGUCCCCCACAUUGGAACUGAGACACGGUCCAAACUCCUACGGGAGGCAGCAGUGAGGAAUAUUGGUCAAUGGGCGAGAGCCUGAACCCGCCAAGUAGCGUGCAGGAUGACGGCCCUAUGGGUUGUAAACUGCUUUUAUAAGGGAAUAAAGUGGGUCUCGUGAGACUUUUUGCAUGUACCUUAUGAAUAAGGACCGGCUAAUUCCGUG
This 492-nucleotide ribosomal RNA is filed under the name uncultured bacterium. RNAcentral describes it as "partial 16S ribosomal RNA". It matches the Rfam family "Bacterial small subunit ribosomal RNA", at positions 28 to 507 of the family's 1533-position model. The record is from RNAcentral.